Chroicocephalus ridibundus (black-headed gull) is the source of this 5609-nucleotide RNA transcript. It is a transcript of the gene named solute carrier family 30 member 7, with no coding region annotated. NCBI's taxonomy places the organism in Eukaryota, Metazoa, Chordata, Aves, Charadriiformes, Laridae. The transcript has 11 exons. The record is from RefSeq and is a predicted model, not a curated record.
GCGCGCAGGCGCGCAGCGGCCGGCCGGAAGCGUGACUGGCGUGUGGGCCGGCGGUGGGGGGAGCGCUGCCGCCCCGCUCCGCCCCGCCUGCCUGCCCUGCCGGUCUGGCACGCCGCGGCCCCGGGAAGAUGUUGCCCCUCUCCAUCAAGGACGAUGAGUACAAGCCGCCCAAGUUCAACCUGCUCAGGAAGGUGUCGGGCUGGUUCAGGUCCAUCCUGGCGGACAAGACCUCCCGCAACCUCUUCUUCUUCCUCUGCCUCAAUCUCUCCUUCGCCUUCGUGGAGCUGCUCUACGGCAUCUGGAGUAACAGUUUAGGUCUAAUAUCAGAUUCUUUUCAUAUGUUUUUUGACUGUACUGCUCUAUUGGCUGGAUUAGCAGCAUCAGUUAUUUCAAAAUGGAGGUCGAACGAUGCCUUCUCAUAUGGAUAUGUUCGAGCAGAAGUACUUGCUGGUUUUGUAAAUGGUUUAUUCCUCAUCUUUACAGCAUUCUUUAUUUUUUCUGAAGGUGUUGAGAGAGCACUUGAGCCUCCUGACGUGCAUCAUGAGAGACUUCUUCCUGUUUCUAUACUAGGAUUCAUUGUAAAUCUUAUAGGAAUAUUUGUUUUUCAACAUGGAGGUCAUGGGCAUUCGCAUGGCUCUGGGCAUGAACACAGCCAUUCUCUAUUUAAUGGUGGUCUCAGCCAUGGACACAGUCACGGAGGUCAUGGUCACAGCCAUGAACAUAAACAUGGCCAUGGACACAGUCAUGAUCAUGGCCAUAGCCAUGGGCACUCUCAUGGUCAGGAUUAUUGUCAUGAUGACCAUUCUCUUGAAGGGAUGGCUGGAUCCAGCAAACAGAUUUUACAAGGUGUAUUUCUACACAUUGUUGCAGACACGCUUGGAAGUAUUGGUGUAAUCAUAUCUGCUAUAUUGAUGCAGAACUAUGGUCUAAUGAUAGCAGAUCCUAUUUGUUCAAUGUUGAUAGCACUACUUAUAGGUGUAAGUAUUGUUCCGCUUUUAAAAGAAUCCAUUGGAAUUUUGAUGCAGCGAACUCCUCCUUCCCUGGAGAACGCCCUGCCUCAGUGCUACCAGAGGGUGAGCUCUUGGGCCAUUUUUGCUUCAAAUCAAGGUGCAGCAGUUGCAAGGAGUUUACAGUUUACAUGAUCCACACUUCUGGACCCUCUGUACUGAUGUUUACAUAGGGACAUUGAAAUUAUUAGUAGCUCCUGAUGCUGAUGGAAGGUGGAUUCUAAGCCAGACUCACAAUAUUUUCACUCAGGCAGGAGUAAGACAGCUUUACAUACAGAUUGAUGUCGCAGCCAUGUAGUGAAUUUCUGAAAUUGUGCUGUUGGACCAAAGUUUUCUGUACUGUAUUGGUGUAAGAACAUACUUCUCAAGACAGAGCCUGCCUCCGCCACUGUUCCGGAAUUGACUGAGUAGAUUUCUGCCCUUGGGCUAUGGAUGGAGUUCACUUCUAAGGAGUAAAUAUUGAAUGAAUGUUAUGGACUUUGGGUCUUGUCUUUUUGUGGCCCCUAAGCUUAAAAAUUUUUGAGGGUUUUUUACUUACUGAUUGUGGUACUGGAAACCCUGUCAUGUCUUCAGUAAAGCUGCUGAAACCACUGCUCAUUCCCAUAAAACCAGUGUUAUCAACAAUUGGAAACUUGUUUUGUAGAUAAUGUCACAGUGGCUGACAUGCUUCAAUAUAAUUGUAUGUUUCUACAGUUGUUUGUACUUUGCAAACUUAAUGAACCAAACCAUAUUGGGUUUUCAAAGUGCCUUUUAUAUCAGGAGGGGAAUUUGCCAGCAUAAAUAUGGAGCAUCUAAGGGUUUUAUUACUUUUACAAAUAUCUUGUUUGCAGUCUGAUUAUUUACUAGUGAUGUAUGUGGGGGGGGGCUGUGUACUUGCGUAACUGUAGAUGUUAGACUUCCCUUGUACUUGCGUCUUACCAAACAGACAGAAAAAUACUAAAUGUAAAAGGCAAAGGUAUUGUGAAGAGACUUCCUUCCAAAGCAAGCUGGAUAUUUUGUUGCACAUAUCUUGUGGAAGUUAUUUUAGUCAAAAUAUUAGAUUUCAUUCCAACUAAUUUGUCUCUUCAUACUGUUAAGAGUAAUGAGACAUUACAUGAUGCUGCUCCUGUUCACAGUCACUGAAACAACAGGCAGCUGAGGGAAGAUGCUGGUGGUGGAAGGAACGCUUGAGGUUUUUUAUCUUCCAAAGUAUGUGGAGGGAAAAAUGAAAUCCCUAAAUUGUUUGUGAAAGCUUAAAUCGCCUUGAUUUUAAUAGGUUGUAAUAAUUUUUAUUAAAGUGAUUGGUGAGAUAACUUUUGGCUUUCCAAAUAUUGAAAAUAGUAGUUUCUGGUGGUUACACCUGAAAUGGAAAUAAGGACCAUGGUUCAUGCUAUUUAAAAUUAUGCUUUUUCCAGGUGGACAAGUCUAACAUUUUUGACUGUCUUACCGUAGCCAUGUGUGUUUUCGUGGGGGGAAAAAAAAUAAUCCCCAGUGCAGUAAGUUGUUUUUUCCAGAAACAUCAGUCUGCCAUAUUUUUCUAGCAUUUAAAAUCAUUUUACACUUUCAAGAUCUGAGCCUUGUUUUCAAAGACAAUCUGCUAGAUUUGGUAUUACAGAUGAUAAUUCCACUAUGCUUGUAGUAGUCAACUUAGUAAUGGAACAGUUCAUAAGAGGACAUUUUACAAACAGAACAUUGUGGAGUAAAAAAAAACCAAGACGGGGAUUUUUCUGAUAAAUCAUAGCUGUUACUAACUGAUACAGAUUUUAAGUAUUCUUCUGGUACCUGGUACGUGGUAACACUGAAAUCAAGGCCCUCUGAAGCUGACCAUGUCUGCGUAGUAAGUGCUAGGCACUAUGAAAGUACCGUAGAUUUAUUUGCAGAAGUGGUUUGUUUGCCACUGGCGCUGCUGAGUUCAUGACAGAGAUUAAGAACGUUUUGCAUUCCUACUUCAUGUCGUUCCUAUAUAGCACCUGAAUUGUGAUCUCUUUUGAUGUGAAAGCACGAUGGUUGCCAAAUUGAUAGGUGGUUCCUGAAUUUUCCAGAUGAGAUAUCGAAACAUGAAUGUUGAUUUUGUACAAAGCUUGAGGUUGUACUCGUGCUUGGAAGUGAAAACUGAGUGUAAAGAAAAAUAGCGGUAAAAAGCCACAUACAUAUUGCUUUUAAGCUUUACAGACUGUUCCAGUCUUCAGAUCCUUUAUCCCUACUGCUGGUUCCUGCUGGUGCGUGGUUCUCCUGGGGACGUGGGUGCAGAGCGCGUGCCCUUCCAGCUGGCUGCACUGUUCCACGUCUCUCCUGGCCUCCUGCCGGCGCCCCAUCGGCCUUCCACCGUCCCACCUCGCUGAUGCUCUGCCAGGCCCGGAAUUCCUGACUGGAGGGUGGGAUCUGAAAGUUAGACGGCACGGGGUAAGGCGCAAGAAUCUGUUGAGCAGAUUUGAGUUUCGCAGUUGAAGAUACCAUUUGCAUAUAUGUUCACAGAAAAGGUAAUUAAAAUACGGUUGUGAUUAUAGGGCGCAGAUCCCUCAUACUGUUUUGUAGUAUGUUGCAUAUAGAGUGCUUUUUGUCGGCUGACAGCAUGAUUUCUUGAUUUUUAUUUUUUUUUAAUAGUUAAUAUUACUACUGUUUGAGGCUAGAGACGAUCAGCUGAUAUCACUUUAAAGGCAGGCACCAGCCAACUUCAUUGCAAUUGUGUCAUGAUCCAAGAGCAGGCUUUGGUUUAUGUCAUUUUUAUACCAGCGUGUUUCGGGACUGAGUGUUCCUGAACUUGCUGAAGUACCGUAGUACUGCCCAACAUGCUGGGCUUGGCCGCUAUUUUAGUCUUCUUAAUUAAAAGACAACUCCUGUCGGUUUCCAAGUGACAAUCUGCCUGAGUGACAACUGGGGGUUUUUUUGUUGUUUUGUGGUUUUUUUUUGUGUGUGUGUGUGGUUAAAAUGUACAUCUACCAACUUUUAAAAUAUGGUAAAAAGAGUGAAAAAAGCCUGUAAGCUGGUUAUAAUAACAAAAUACUGAUUUUAAUAAUUUUUUGGUAUCUUUUUGUUGCUUAUGAGUACUUAGCUGACUGUUGGAAGCCUAUGUACAAGUCUGAGUUUCCUAACCAAGAUAACAAUUUCUUCAUUAUUUUCAAGGACAACUUGAUGUUUUUACAGUAAGAAAUAUAUCAUUUGUUAAAUAUAAUUGAGGAUAGUGUAGGGAAUUCAGAUUCAAAGUAGACUUUAAGCCUUUUUAGGUUUUCUGGAAAAGGGUAAGGAUCACAAAAUUGUGCAAAAGGCAGUAGAUGACGUGUCCAGGAGGUAACUACCAUCACAUCUAGUACAUCAGUAAGCAGCGGGACAUUUGUUCUAUUUUAUUCACCUACUAAGGGGAUAUUUGCUCAGGUUUUAGGAGAGUACAAAUCAUACAAUUGGAAGUGCAGCUUUUCUUCAUACUGAGAGUCAAAGCUCCAUUAUUUUUUGUUUUGCUAAUUACCCAACCCUUAGUUUGUUAUAUAAUGGUUUGCUUUUAACACUUUAUUGGGGAUGCAUCACAUCAUUUAAAUAAAGAUUUGCGUGAAUGACUGACAUCCAGAGCUGGAUGAAUGUCCGCAGACCAUCUGCUAAAACUCAGCUUCCUGGUAUCCAGUACUGAAUUUUGAGCCAAGUUUUCAAAGUAUGAUUUUCUCAUGUUUUCGUGGGGUUACUGGUCUGCCUUUGUGUGGUGGUGUGGUGGGUUUUUUUUUCUGUGACUGAAAACAGUAACUUAAAACCAUAUUGUCCCAACGACCAAGCCUGCAAACUGCAUCAUUUUUACAGGACCUACAGCAAAAUAAGAAGAUAAAACAAGUGCUGCAGAGUGCCUGUACUAAAAUGCCCCAAAUGUUUGUCAUGGUGAAUAACGGGAAGAAAAUGACUUUAAGAGUAUGCAGAGUGAAGCCUGCUCCAUCGUAGGCUGAUCCUGUAAGCCUGUACAUAUGGACAGACUUGUUCCUUACAUCAGCAGGGCCCCUACAGAGCAUUACGUUACUUGGGCAAUUUGCUGAACUAAAGCAAAAAGUGCUGGUCCAAAUAAAUGACUCUGCUUUUUAUGUAAUCCUGCUUACUAAAACAAAAGUUUAAUUGCAUCAUUAGUAAGAGCUGCUGACACUAUUUUUACAUAAAAAUUGAAACCGCUGCUACUAAUAAAGUGGACCUUAGUGACUCGUACUGUUCUUAAUAUUUUUUUCCUGAAGAAGUAAAGCCGGGUGUAAAGGUGACGGAAAGAAAGGGUGUCUCCUUUUAACUGUUGUAAGGGAACCUGUUUUGGGAAUAUCAACAAGAUACAAGCGGGGGGAGAGGCUGCUGCUGAAUGGCAGUUUCCCACCCUUUGCACCCACUGUGCAACAACCGAAUAGUGAAGUUCCUGGCUUUUCCCUCACAGGGCAGAUUUCAGUUGCAGAAACCUUCAUGCUUCUAGAAAAUGCAAAUCCUAAUCAAUACUCACGUAACAGAUCUUUAAAUACCAGUUCAGAGCAACAGCUUUAGUUACUAAUUAAGCCCUGUCCUGUUUUCCCCGGCAGCCACCAGACUGCCACUGCUGGGAUUCCUGAUUAUCCCACCCCUUUUAAGCAUGUUUGGGAAUGAGUAUAAGGGAUUUUCUUUUUUUUUUUUUUU